Hydra vulgaris (swiftwater hydra) is the source of this 441-nucleotide non-coding RNA. NCBI's taxonomy places the organism in Eukaryota, Metazoa, Cnidaria, Hydrozoa, Anthoathecata, Hydridae. The record is from RefSeq and is a predicted model, not a curated record.
UUCCCUCACUGUCUGACAUAAAGAUUUGUCCUGCAACAAGAAGAGCACCAUGUUAUUGCAUGAUUAGUUAUAUAGAAAAAGACAAGUUUGGAAGCCCUCAACCGAUUGGAACAACAAAUACAACCAGUCAGUCAAAAGAACAGCUAGUUAUUGAGAAAUGUUGUUCAGCACGCUUUUCACUGAUUCGAAGAAGGAUUCUACGUAAUUGUACAAAAAGAAUACUUUGACAGAACUUGCUUGAAGUUGCUGUAAAAGACACAAAAGCAGCAGAAAGAGUAGCUGCUACUGUGAUAGUUAACAAACUUCCUUCACCCCAUGGCACUGUGCGUCUUAACCAAGAAAUAGGAAGGCAUCUUUUAGUUACUCCAGGUGCCCAAAGAAGAACUAACGGUCUUAAAGCACCGCGGAAAUGCAUUUAACCAUCCUUUCAUACCGUGACGC